GAGACCCACGCCAACAGUUGCCAGCAUGUCCUCCGGGAUGGUGGGGACACUGUUGGGACCGCCUCUGCUAAAGAGGAGGAAGGAAUGGGCAACGGUAGGUCGGCAUGCCCCGAAUUAUCCGGGCUACACGCGGGCUACAAUGGUCAGGACAAUGGGUAUCGACACCGAGAGGUGAAGGCAAUCUCUUAAACCUGUCCUUAGUUCGGAUUGUGGGCUGCAACUCGCCCACAUGAAGCUGGAAUCCGUAGUAAUCGCGUCUCAAAAUGGCGCGGUGAAUAU
RNAcentral lists this ribosomal RNA (279 nucleotides) under uncultured archaeon. RNAcentral's name for it is "partial 16S rRNA". It matches the Rfam family "Archaeal small subunit ribosomal RNA", at positions 1047 to 1325 of the family's 1478-position model. The record is from RNAcentral.